This is a long non-coding RNA of Mastomys coucha (southern multimammate mouse), 276 nucleotides long. RefSeq lists it as uncharacterized. The record is from RefSeq and is a predicted model, not a curated record. The transcript is spliced from 3 exons. NCBI's taxonomy places the organism in Eukaryota, Metazoa, Chordata, Mammalia, Rodentia, Muridae.
UUUACAUCCACUCCUGACCCUCAGACCUGUGAGCUGUGAAUCGGGGAUUUCCUCCAACCACAGUGUUUGAUCAAGUACACAAGAUAUUCACCACUGCACGUGCCAGAUGGGCUUGCCAGAUGAUAGCCUCACAGCAGCAAUCUGAGCAUGUUUCCGAGGACCAGGCUGAGUAACCUAGGAUACAGAGCACAGUACCCUGAAAAGCACCUAGGGCAAGCACAAUGGAAAGCAGGGCUAGAAAACAAGCACCGCCAAGAAAUAAAUAGCAGAGAACGG